This 600-nucleotide long non-coding RNA is filed under the name Heterocephalus glaber (naked mole-rat). Its description in RNAcentral is "lncRNA (ENSHGLG00100046162.1)". The record is from RNAcentral. Lineage: Eukaryota; Metazoa; Chordata; Mammalia; Rodentia; Bathyergidae.
CGCUUAUCCCAUCAUUCUUGCUGCUUUCUGAAGCAAGCUCUGGAAUCCUCUUUCAUGAGUGUCUGUAUAAGGUGUGUUAAAGAAAAUGGGGUGAAUGCUGUUGCUGAGUGCCACCUAAUGGGAAGGCAGAUUCAUAAAAACAUGCUGCUGUGUCCUCAUCCCUCUUAUUCACCAGAUCUGGCACCAUGUGACUUCUGGCUUUUCCCCAAAGUCAAAACCCCAGUGAAAGUUAAACGUUUUGAACUGAUUCAGGACAUCAAGGCAGCCAGAACAGCACAACUAAAGACCCUCAUGAAAGAGGACUCCAGAACUGCUUCAGAAAGGGGCAUGAACCAUGGGAAAAGCAUGUUCAAAAUAUCGCUAGAAGUUCUUUGAAAUCAUGAAGAAGUUUCUUCUUAUACAAGAGCAAAGCAAGAAGAAAUGGGAAGUUUGGGACGGGGCUAGAGCUGCAAGAGGAGGCUGAGAAGCAAGAGAAUCUGUGACAGUACCAGGGCUCCAGGGGCGUUGGGAUCCAGAGCGCAGCUGUCAGGUGAGUUCUCGGCUUCACCUCGGAGUUCUCCCGCUCCGCGCCAGGGGAGGCGGCUUAGGAGCAAGUCGGGG